GCCGGGCGUGGUGGCGCAUGCCUGUAAUCCCAGCUACUUGGGAGGCUGGGGCAGGAGAAUCGCUUGAACCCAGGAGGCGGAGAUUGCGGUGAGCCGAGAUCGUGCCAUGACACUCCAGCCCCUGGGUGAUAGAGUGAGACUCCGUCUCAA
This is an unclassified non-coding RNA of Pongo abelii (Sumatran orangutan), 150 nucleotides long. It matches the Rfam family "Metazoan signal recognition particle RNA". Rfam says of the family: The signal recognition particle (SRP) is a universally conserved ribonucleoprotein. NCBI's taxonomy places the organism in Eukaryota, Metazoa, Chordata, Mammalia, Primates, Hominidae. The record is from Ensembl.